This 497-nucleotide ribosomal RNA is filed under the name uncultured bacterium. RNAcentral describes it as "partial 16S ribosomal RNA". It matches the Rfam family "Bacterial small subunit ribosomal RNA", at positions 28 to 507 of the family's 1533-position model. The record is from RNAcentral.
GAUGAACGCUGGCGGCGUGCCUAAUACAUGCAAGUCGAGCGAACAGAUGAGGAGCUUGCUCCUCUGACGUUAGCGGCGGACGGGUGAGUAACACGUGGAUAACCUACCUAUAAGACUGGGAUAACUUCGGGAAACCGGAGCUAAUACCGGAUAAUAUAUUGAACCGCAUGGUUCAAUAGUGAAAGACGGUUUUGCUGUCACUUAUAGAUGGAUCCGCGCCGCAUUAGCUAGUUGGUAAGGUAACGGCUUACCAAGGCAACGAUGCGUAGCCGACCUGAGAGGGUGAUCGGCCACACUGGAACUGAGACACGGUCCAGACUCCUACGGGAGGCAGCAGUAGGGAAUCGUCCGCAAUGGGCGAAAGCCUGACGGAGCAACGCCGCGUGAGUGAUGAAGGUCUUCGGAGCGUAAAACUCUGUUAUUAGGGAAGAACAAAUGUGUAAGUAACUAUGCACGUCUUGACGGUACCUAAUCAGAAAGCCACGGCUAACUACGUG